This 497-nucleotide ribosomal RNA is filed under the name uncultured bacterium. Its description in RNAcentral is "partial 16S ribosomal RNA". It matches the Rfam family "Bacterial small subunit ribosomal RNA", at positions 28 to 507 of the family's 1533-position model. The record is from RNAcentral.
GAUGAACGCUGGCGGCGUGCCUAAUACAUGCAAGUCGAGCGAACGGACGAGAAGCUUGCUUCUCUGAUGUUAGCGGCGGACGGGUGAGUAACACGUGGAUAACCUACCUAUAAGACUGGGAUAACUUCGGGAAACCGGAGCUAAUACCGGAUAAUAUUUUGAACCGCAUGGUUCAAAAGUGAAAGACGGUCUUGCUGUCACUUAUAGAUGGAUCCGCGCUGCAUUAGCUAGUUGGUAAGGUAACGGCUUACCAAGGCAACGAUGCAUAGCCGACCUGAGAGCGUGGUCGGCCACCCGGGAAGUGAGGCACGGUCCCGACUCCUACGCGAGGCCGCAGUAGGGAAUCCUCCGCGAUGGACGAAAGCCUGACGGAGCAACGUCGCGUGAGUGCUGAAGGUCUUCUGCUCGUAAAACUCUGUUAUUAGGGAAGAUCAUAUGUGUAAGUAACUGUGCACAUCUUGACGGUACCUAAUCAGAAAGCCACGGCUAACUACGUG